RNAcentral lists this transfer RNA (87 nucleotides) under Planctomycetes bacterium RBG_16_43_13. Its description in RNAcentral is "tRNA-Ser". It matches the Rfam family "tRNA". Rfam says of the family: Transfer RNA (tRNA) molecules are approximately 80 nucleotides in length. Their secondary structure includes four short double-helical elements and three loops (D, anti-codon, and T loops). Further hydrogen bonds mediate the characteristic L-shaped molecular structure. tRNAs have two regions of fundamental functional importance: the anti-codon, which is responsible for specific mRNA codon recognition, and the 3' end, to which the tRNAs corresponding amino acid is attached (by aminoacyl-tRNA synthetases). tRNAs cope with the degeneracy of the genetic code in two manners: having more than one tRNA (with a specific anti-codon) for a particular amino acid; and 'wobble' base-pairing, i.e. permitting non-standard base-pairing at the 3rd anti-codon position. Lineage: Bacteria; Pseudomonadati; Planctomycetota. The record is from RNAcentral.
GGAGGGGUGGCAGAGCGGUUGAAUGCGGCGGUCUUGAAAACCGUUGUGGCUUUACGGCUACCGUGGGUUCGAAUCCCACCCCCUCCG